AUACGUAGGGGGCGAGCGUUGUCCGGAUUUACUGGGCGUAAAGGGUGAGUAGGCGGUUAUAUAUGUCAGGUGUAAAAGGUCAUGGCUUAACCAUGGUUAGCACUUGAAACUGUAUGACUUGAGUGCAGGAGAGGUAAGCGGAAUUCCUAGUGUAGCGGUGAAAUGCGUAGAUAUUAGGAGGAACACCAGUGGCGAAGGCGGCUUACUGGACUGUAACUGACGCUGAGUCACGAAAGCGUGGGUAGCAAACAGGAUUAGAUACCCUGGUAGUCCACGCUGUAAACGAUGAGUGCUAGGUGUUGGCCAACGAUGGUCAGUGCCGGAGUAAGCACAAUAAGCACUCCGCCUGGGGAGUACGUACGCAAGUAUAAA
This 372-nucleotide ribosomal RNA is filed under the name uncultured bacterium. RNAcentral describes it as "bacterial SSU rRNA". It matches the Rfam family "Bacterial small subunit ribosomal RNA", at positions 523 to 898 of the family's 1533-position model. The record is from RNAcentral.